CCUACGGGAGGCAGCAGUGGGGAAUAUUGGGCAAUGGGCGCAAGCCUGACCCAGCAACGCCGCGUGAAGGAAGAAGGCUUUCGGGUUGUAAACCUCUUUUAAGAGGGAAGAGCAGAAGACGGUACCUCUUGAAUAAGCCACGGCUAAUUACGUGCCAGCAGCCGCGGUAAUACGUAGGUGGCAAGCGUUGUCCGGAUUAACUGGGUGUAAAGGGCGUGCAGCCGGGAAGUCAAGUCAGAUGUGAAAGCCCGCGGCUCAACCGCGGAACUGCAUUUGAAACUGGUUUUCUUGAGUACCGGAGAGGUCAUCGGAAUUCCUUGUGUAGCGGUGAAAUGCGUAGAUAUAAGGAAGAACACCAGUGGCGAAGGCGGAUGACUGGACGGCAACUGACGGUGAGGCGCGAAAGCGUGGGGAGCAAACAGGAUUAGAUACCCCUGUAGUC
Molecule: ribosomal RNA, 442 nt
Filed under: uncultured bacterium
Lineage: Bacteria
Description: partial 16S ribosomal RNA
Rfam family: Bacterial small subunit ribosomal RNA
Source: RNAcentral